UACGUAGGGGGCAAGCGUUGUCCGGAAUCAUUGGGCGUAAAGCGCGUGUAGGCGGCCCGGUAAGUCCGCUGUGAAAGUCGGGGGCUCAACCCUCGAAUGCCGGUGGAUACUGUCGGGCUAGAGUGCGGAAGAGGCGAGUGGAAUUCCUGGUGUAGCGGUGAAAUGCGCAGAUAUCAGGAGGAACACCAGUGGCGAAGGCGGUGCUCUGGGCCGGAACUGACGCUGAGGAGCGAAAGCGUGGGGAGCAAACAGG
RNAcentral lists this ribosomal RNA (253 nucleotides) under uncultured bacterium. RNAcentral describes it as "partial 16S ribosomal RNA". It matches the Rfam family "Bacterial small subunit ribosomal RNA", at positions 524 to 776 of the family's 1533-position model. The record is from RNAcentral.